CGUGACGGUUUCUACAGAGUUUGAAAAUAAAAAAGAAGUGGAAAAAAGUGAAGUAUAUGCAGAAUUUGCGAAAACUCAAACAGGUGAGAUUAAGAAGAAGAAGAAGAAGAAAAAGAAGAGUGUGAUCAAUGGGGAAGAAUCAAAUGAACCCAAAUCCUCGUUUGACGCGACGGUUUCUACAGAGUUUGAAAAUAAAAAAGAAGUGGAAAAAAGUGAAGUAUAUGCAGAAUUUGCGAAAACUCAAACAGGUGAGAUUAAGAAGAAGAAGAAGAAAAAGAAGAGUGUGAUCAAUGGGGAAGAAUCAAAUGAACCCAAACCCUCGUUAGACGCGACGGUUACUACAGAGUUUGAAAAUAAAAAAGAAGGGGGAAAAAGUGAAGUAUAUACAGAAUUUGGGAAAACUCAAUCAGGUAAGAAGAGGAAGAGAAAAUCAAAAAGUGAAACAGGGAAAAUGGGUGAGGUGGUGGUUGUGGAGAAUGUACUCAGUCAUGAUUCGGAGCAAGUAAACGAAAUAGAUAGGAGGAAGAGUCAAAAGAGUGUGCAAGAGGGGGCACAAUCCAAUGAGGACAAUGUUGAACCGGCUGAAACUGCGGUUCAGAUGUCUGUGGUUGAUAGGGAAUUGUCUCCGGUGGACCCAACAAUCCGAUUGAACAAUCAAC
RNAcentral lists this long non-coding RNA (659 nucleotides) under Trifolium pratense (red clover). RNAcentral's name for it is "long non-coding RNA (TPRA_LNC000149)". The record is from RNAcentral. Lineage: Eukaryota; Viridiplantae; Streptophyta; Magnoliopsida; Fabales; Fabaceae.